GAUGUACAGAGUGGAUUCCAGUCGGUACGUUAAAUAUGCUCCGAGUGGAUCGUCGCCGACUAGACGAUGGGGGCGUCCUUAGUUCAGUCGGAACUGUCUAAGGACCUUGUCUUCUAUGAAGGGUAGUCCUUGGGUAGGACCUAUAGGGCAGGCCUAUGACCCUACCCUGGGACUAUAACCCCAUCAUUAGUCCCCGAAUGGAUCGGGAUUGGAACGAUGAAGUGAUGUCUGGAGUAUGGAUCCGACUGGUAUGGAGGUGACUUUAGCGUUGUUUGCCUCGAUCCAUUUUAUCCUUUCAACCAGUGAUCCGAGUGAAUAUACCAGUGAAACGAACCAUCAGGGACCGAGUGCUGCCGCGGAAUCUUUCGACGUGAC
Molecule: long non-coding RNA, 375 nt
Filed under: Hordeum vulgare
Lineage: Eukaryota; Viridiplantae; Streptophyta; Magnoliopsida; Poales; Poaceae
Description: long non-coding RNA (HVUL_LNC004250)
Source: RNAcentral